This 240-nucleotide unclassified non-coding RNA is filed under the name soil metagenome. RNAcentral describes it as "partial contains 5.8S ribosomal RNA, internal transcribed spacer 2, and large subunit ribosomal RNA". The record is from RNAcentral.
AACAUCGCGCACCUGCGGGAACCUGCGGAAGGAUCAUUAAUGAUUGGUGGCUGUUGCUGACUAGUGUUUCUAGUAUGUGCACGCCACACCUUCAGUCCCACUUACACCUGUGCACCUUCUGUAAUAGAUCUAUGUGGAUACGGAGAUGUGAAAGUUUGCGCUCUCCUACUCUGUUGAAGCAGUCUACUACGUUUUUUUACACACACACACAAUAGUCAUUGAAUGUAUUUUUUAUUCUUA